RNAcentral lists this ribosomal RNA (253 nucleotides) under uncultured bacterium. RNAcentral describes it as "partial 16S ribosomal RNA". It matches the Rfam family "Bacterial small subunit ribosomal RNA", at positions 524 to 776 of the family's 1533-position model. The record is from RNAcentral.
UACGUAGGGGCCUAGCGUUGUCCGGAUUUAUUGGGCGUAAAGAGCGUGUAGGCGGCCAGAUAGGUCCGUUGUGAAAACUGGAGGCUUAACCUCCAGCGGUCGAUGGAAACCAUUUGGCUAGAGUCCGGAAGAGGAGAGUGGAAUUCCUGGUGUAGCGGUGAAAUGCGCAGAUAUCAGGAAGAACACCCGUGGCGAAGGCGGCUCUCUGGGACGGUACUGACGCUGAGACGCGAAAGCGUGGGGAGCGAACAGG